UACGAAGGGGGCUAGCGUUGUUCGGAAUUACUGGGCGUAAAGCGCACGUAGGCGGAUUGUUAAGUCAGAGGUGAAAUCCCGGAGCUCAACUUCGGAACUGCCUUUGAUACUGGCAAUCUAGAGUCCGGAAGAGGUUAGUGGAAUUCCCAGUGUAGAGGUGAAAUUCGUAGAUAUUGGGAAGAACACCAGUGGCGAAGGCGGCUAACUGGUCCGGUACUGACGCUGAGGUGCGAAAGCAUGGGGAGCAAACAGG
This 253-nucleotide ribosomal RNA is filed under the name uncultured bacterium. RNAcentral describes it as "partial 16S ribosomal RNA". It matches the Rfam family "Bacterial small subunit ribosomal RNA", at positions 524 to 776 of the family's 1533-position model. The record is from RNAcentral.